Molecule: ribosomal RNA, 497 nt
Filed under: uncultured bacterium
Lineage: Bacteria
Description: partial 16S ribosomal RNA
Rfam family: Bacterial small subunit ribosomal RNA
Source: RNAcentral
GAUGAACGCUGGCGGCGUGCCUAAUACAUGCAAGUCGAGCGAACAGACGAGGAGCUUGCUCCUCUGACGUUAGCGGCGGACGGGUGAGUAACACGUGGAUAACCUACCUAUAAGACUGGGAUAACUUCGGGAAACCGGAGCUAAUACCGGAUAAUAUAUUGAACCGCAUGGUUCAAUAGUGAAAGACGGUUUUGCUGUCACUUAUAGAUGGAUCCGCGCCGCAUUAGCUAGUUGGUAAGGUAACGGCUUACCAAGGCAACGAUGCGUAGCCGACCUGAGAGGGUGAUCGGCCACACUGGAAUUGAAACACGGACCAGACUCCUACGGGAGGCAGCAGUAGGGAAUCUUCCGCAAUGGGCGAAAGCCUGACGGAGCAACGCCGAGUGAGUGAUGAAGGUCUUCAGGUCGUAAAACGCUGUUAUUAGGGAAGAACAAAUGUGUAAGUAACUAUGCACGUCUUGACGGUACCUAAUCAGAAAGCCACGGCUAACUACGUG